UGCCCUGUCGUCUAAUGGUAAGACUGCGGUUUCUGAUACCGCCUAUCGAGGUUCGAAUCCUCGCGGGGCAUCCA
This 74-nucleotide transfer RNA is filed under the name Sphingopyxis witflariensis. RNAcentral describes it as "tRNA-Gln". It matches the Rfam family "tRNA". Rfam says of the family: Transfer RNA (tRNA) molecules are approximately 80 nucleotides in length. Their secondary structure includes four short double-helical elements and three loops (D, anti-codon, and T loops). Lineage: Bacteria; Pseudomonadati; Pseudomonadota; Alphaproteobacteria; Sphingomonadales; Sphingopyxidaceae. RNAcentral also lists the same sequence under 43 other names. The record is from RNAcentral.